Tupaia belangeri chinensis (Chinese tree shrew) is the source of this 1372-nucleotide long non-coding RNA. RefSeq lists it as uncharacterized. The transcript is spliced from 3 exons. Lineage: Eukaryota; Metazoa; Chordata; Mammalia; Scandentia; Tupaiidae. The record is from RefSeq and is a predicted model, not a curated record.
UAGCUGGCCCAGGGGUGGGCGUGGCCUCCGAGGAAGUUCGAGGAACUGAGGUUGGCGGGAAACAGCCGGGAAGACCGCGGACGACCGAGAGCUGUUCUGGCCGACCCUGACGUGCCCUCAGCGAAAUUCCUGUCAGUUCUGACCCGAGCGGCCCCCCAACCUCUCAUUCACCGUCCGCAGAGAUUUGGGGUGUUGUGUGACUGAGAAGACCGAGGCUGCCGGAAAGGCCACAAGAUAAUGGUGGCAAUUAAUGCUUUGGAGAGAAAAAUAUUCCUCCCUCACCCACCUCCCUCACACAGAAAGAUACGUGCGUUUUCUCUUCCUUAAGAAUUGAUAAAGACCUGAGAAGUCCAGGCCAACAUAAAGUCCUGGUUUCCAGAUCAAGCUACAUGUGCAACAACAACAACAAACUACAAAAGCGAAGAGGGAGCUUUUAGAGAGCUCUUAAUGGAAAGGAAAGAAAGGGAAAAAAGGAAAGAAAGGGAAAAAAGCCCAAAAGAAGCAGGACCCAUAGGCUGGAGGACUGGAGAAAAGGGAUCAUGGUGCUUUUUCCACUUUGGCUUAUGUAGACAUGUACUCUGUCUUGGAUAGAAAGAAAACAAAACAAAACAAAACAAAAAAACCUCCAGGGCCCAUGGAGAGAAGAAUGAAAGGCCAAAAAUCUUACAGCACUGGGACAAAAAUGAAGCAUAGAAAAAAGAGAAUAGAAUGACAUCUCCAGGGCUCAGCCUGGAGAGCUGGGUGGCUGCUCUCAGCUGCUGAGCCUCUCUUGACGGCUUACGUUAAAGGAGCACUCUGCACAGGCUUCCCAUUGGUGGCUUCAGAACUGAAAUACGCCCUGUGACCUUCUCACCAGCUCUGUUCACAUCCUCACUCCCUUGUUUCCAGCUUCCCUACUUGUCUCUUCAUUUGCCUGGCUGAUAAAUGCAUAAAGUUGCCCUCUGUGCUAUGACCUUGUCUCUCUACAACUAAGAUGAUGAAAAUUGGAACUCUUCAUCCAGCUAUGUUGUCUCAGGCCACCCUGAAUAACAUUCCUCCCAGUUGGACCCAGUCCUCAGGAUACUUCUCUGUGAAAAACGGUGAACUACAUGGUUAUUUGGAAAAUUAUGUCCUCAGGAGAGCUACCUUAUUGCUAAUGGUUUAAUGCUCACUUUCAGAAAAAAGCUGAGAUCACCUAAAUGCAGGAAGAACAAAGAAAUAUGUAAUUUCUGGACAUAAACAUCUGUUUUUCAGUUUUAUAUAUACUAUCUUACUAAUACCUGCUAGAUUGAAGUUGGGUUUCAUAGAACAAUAAAAUAUCACUCCCACAGAAAGGAAAUGUGAAUAAAAACAUUUAUAAAGGAAAAAUGGAACUGACAUGUGGAAUUAGAAG